Molecule: non-coding RNA, 208 nt
Organism: Schizosaccharomyces pombe (fission yeast)
Lineage: Eukaryota; Fungi; Ascomycota; Schizosaccharomycetes; Schizosaccharomycetales; Schizosaccharomycetaceae
Source: the annotation of a GenBank genome assembly
CAAAGGAAACGUGCCAUUGUCAUAUAAAAGAAAAAUCAUCCAAAUACUUUAUAUUCUCACAACGCAAGUGGCAUUUACAAUGCGAAGUUGAAAAGAAAAAUGAAUUCCCUACUAGAAAUGGAAAGGGGAUUGUAGAGGUGCAUUUUCUAUAAUUGGAGAAUCCCGUUGAACGUCGGUUAGACUAAAAUGUUAAUACAGAUGGAAAUUU